UAAUUGUAUGAAAGGAGAUAAAUUCAGCACUCCCGUAUACAAGAAUGGAUUGCAAUACUACUUAAUGGAUACUAAUUUUGAAAUUGUUCUUU
Small nuclear RNA from Harmonia axyridis, 92 nucleotides. NCBI's taxonomy places the organism in Eukaryota, Metazoa, Arthropoda, Insecta, Coleoptera, Coccinellidae. The record is from RefSeq and is a predicted model, not a curated record.